CAUGGAAGGGCCAUCGCUCAACGGAUAAAAGCUACCCCGGGGAUAACAGGCUUAUCUCCCCCAAGAGUUCACAUCGACGGGGAGGUUUGGCACCUCGAUGUCGGCUCAUCGCAUCCUGGGGCUGUAGUCGGUCCCAAGGGUUGGGCUGUUCGCCCAUUAAAGCGGUACGCGAGCUGGGUUCAGAACGUCGUGAGACAGUUCGGUCCCUAUCCGUCGUGGGCGUAGGAAAUUUGAGAGGAGCUGUCCUUAGUACGAGAGGACCGGGAUGGACAUACCUCUGGUGUACCAGUUGUCGUGCCAACGGCAUAGCUGGGUAGCUAUGUAUGGACGGGAUAAGUGCUGAAAGCAUCUAAGCAUGAAGCCCCCCUCAAGAUGAGAUUUCCCAACUUCGGUUAUAAGAUCCCUCGAAGAUGACGAGGUUAAUAGGUUCGAGGUGGAAGCGUGGUGACACGUGGAGCUGACGAAUACUAAUCGAUCGAAGACUUAAUCAAUAUU
Molecule: ribosomal RNA, 495 nt
Filed under: Listeria monocytogenes
Lineage: Bacteria; Bacillati; Bacillota; Bacilli; Caryophanales; Listeriaceae
Description: partial 23S ribosomal RNA
Rfam family: Bacterial large subunit ribosomal RNA
Source: RNAcentral